GACGAACGCUGGCGGCGUGCCUAACACAUGCAAGUCGAACGGGGUGUCGAGAGCUUGCUCUUGACACUUAGUGGCGAACGGGUGAGUAACGCGUGAGAAACCUGCCUCUCAGUGGGGGACAACAGUUGGAAACGACUGCUAAUACCGCAUAACAUAUUCGAAGGGCAUCCUUUGAAUAUCAAAGCUUAAUGUGCUGAGAGAUGGUCUCGCGUCUGAUUAGCUAGUUGGCGGGGUAACGGCCCACCAAGGCGACGAUAGCUAUCCGGCCUGAGAGGGGUGAACGGACACAUUGGGACUGAGAUACGGCCCAGACUCCUACGGGAGGCAGCAGCUAAGAAUAUUGGGCAAUGGGCGCAAGCCUGACCCAGCAACGCCGUGUGAAGGAAGAAGGUCUUCGGAUUGAAACUUUGUCUUAUGGGACGAUAAUGACGGUACCAUAGGAGGAAGUCACGACUAACUACGU
This 463-nucleotide ribosomal RNA is filed under the name uncultured bacterium. RNAcentral's name for it is "bacterial SSU rRNA". It matches the Rfam family "Bacterial small subunit ribosomal RNA", at positions 28 to 506 of the family's 1533-position model. The record is from RNAcentral.